AGUGAACGCUGGCGGCGUGCUUAACACAUGCAAGUCGAACGAGAACGGGUUAUAGCUUGCUAUAAUUGUCAGCUAAGUGGCGCACGGGUGAGUAAUGUAUAGGUAAUAUGCCUCUUACUAAGGGAUAACAAAUGGAAACGUUUGCUAAUACCUUAUACUCCUUAUUAACAGAAGUUAAUAAGGGAAAGAUUUAUUGGUAAGAGAUUAGCCUGUAUUGUAUCAGAUAGUUGGUGGGGUAAUGGCCUACCAAGACUAUGACACACAACUGGUUUUCGAGGAUUAUAGGUAACUCUAAAACUGUCACACGGUCCAGACUGUAACGAUGCGCUGCAGUGGAGAGUAUUACAGAGUGAACCAAAGGCUUAUGCAUCAACACCGAGGUGAGGAUCACACAUUUCGGAGCAGAAACUCCUUGUUUGUGAGAAGAUAAUGACGAUAUUGCAUGAAGAAAGACCGGCUAACGCCGUACCAGCCGACGCCGUGA
This 484-nucleotide ribosomal RNA is filed under the name uncultured bacterium. Its description in RNAcentral is "partial 16S ribosomal RNA". It matches the Rfam family "Bacterial small subunit ribosomal RNA", at positions 29 to 523 of the family's 1533-position model. The record is from RNAcentral.